AAUAGAACAGCUGGAUCGUAUGGUAGUUCUAUUUUUAAUUUUCUGAGGAACAUCCAUACUGUUUUCCAUAAUAACUACACUAAUUUGUAUUACUACCAACAGU
Molecule: microRNA precursor, 103 nt
Filed under: Marmota monax (woodchuck)
Lineage: Eukaryota; Metazoa; Chordata; Mammalia; Rodentia; Sciuridae
Source: RNAcentral